Non-coding RNA from Pocillopora verrucosa, 454 nucleotides. NCBI's taxonomy places the organism in Eukaryota, Metazoa, Cnidaria, Anthozoa, Scleractinia, Pocilloporidae. The record is from RefSeq and is a predicted model, not a curated record.
GAAAGGUGUUGCACCUAAACAGGCUUGAAAGUUUCUGAGAGCUGAUAAUCAAGUCACCCUGACUUUGGUGAGUGCGGGAGCUCUAAGGAAUUAUUGUGUGUUUAUCAUACGUUAUUCCUUUUCAGGAUUCAGCACAAGGAAAAAAGUAUGUGUUGGAUGUUCCGCCAUUUAAGAUUCGUCAUUUUCGCAUCUGCCAUGGAGUUUGUCACAGCUAAUGAUCAAUGUAGGACGGAAGUAAAUAUACAAGGAAUGGCUCUCAAGCGUUCUGUUUUCAAAAGGUGGUCAGUGGCGGCUCCUCAUCUUUGUGAUGUUAAAUGUGGAAAAGAGAUUACAUGCCAAAGCUAUAACUACAAUAGAAAAUACCAAAUAUGUGAACUAAAUAACCGCACCAAAGAGGCGAGACCAGAGAAUUUCCUUUCAGCACCCGCGUGGUUUUACAUCCGGCGAUUAAACG